UCACUUUGACAGCACAUAUACUAAAAUUGUAAUGAUACAGAGAAGAUUAGCAUGGCCCCUGCACAAGGAUAAUACACAAAUUCAUGAAGCAUUCCAUAAUUUU
Ictidomys tridecemlineatus (thirteen-lined ground squirrel) is the source of this 103-nucleotide small nuclear RNA. The record is from Ensembl. NCBI's taxonomy places the organism in Eukaryota, Metazoa, Chordata, Mammalia, Rodentia, Sciuridae.